CUGAGCUCGGGGAUGCAGAGGACCCCAUGGUGAAAGGACCUUCUGUGUUCUUGCAGCCCCCU
RNAcentral lists this microRNA precursor (62 nucleotides) under Mus pahari (shrew mouse). Its description in RNAcentral is "microRNA 6901 (MGP_PahariEiJ_G0007494.1)". Lineage: Eukaryota; Metazoa; Chordata; Mammalia; Rodentia; Muridae. The record is from RNAcentral.